This 239-nucleotide ribosomal RNA is filed under the name uncultured bacterium. RNAcentral's name for it is "partial 16S ribosomal RNA". It matches the Rfam family "Bacterial small subunit ribosomal RNA", at positions 92 to 334 of the family's 1533-position model. The record is from RNAcentral.
CGAGUGGCGGACGGGUGAGUAAUGUCGGGGAAACUGCCCGAUGGAGGGGGAUAACUACUGGAAACGGUAGCUAAUACCGCAUAACGUCGCAAGACCAAAGAGGGGGACCUUAGGGCCUCUUGCCAUCGGAUGUGCCCAGAUGGGAUUAGCUAGUAGGUGGGGUAACGGCUCACCUAGGCGACGAUCCCUAGCUGGUCUGAGAGGAUGACCAGCCACACUGGAACUGAGACACGGUCCAG